This 2278-nucleotide long non-coding RNA is filed under the name Equus asinus (donkey). RNAcentral's name for it is "lncRNA (ENSEASG00005031402.1)". Lineage: Eukaryota; Metazoa; Chordata; Mammalia; Perissodactyla; Equidae. The record is from RNAcentral.
AAGAUUCUACUUUUCUAACAAGCUUUUCGCUGAUUUGAUGCUGUUGAUUCAUGGACCGUCCUUUGAAGAGCAGAGCAGACGGUGGGCCAGUUAGUGCUGGAUCCAGUUAUGAUCUCCUCUACUUGUUGUAAAGUAUUUAAUACAGCACCUGGCAUAGGGUCAGCCCGUCACUAUUACUGCUUUAUUAUCUGUGUAGGAUAAACCGGAAAACUUAUCCUUGAUGCACUGUUUAAUAUUAUCAAAACUGGGACGAAGUUGAUCCUCAUCUUCAAGGACGUGUUACAAGCCUUAUGGAAUUUGCUGGUCAUCUGUAGCUAAGCAAGCUGAGCAAAUCUGACAGCCCUUGUGCAGAGUCCCUGUGGACGUCACUCACUCUCAGCCCUUGCUCCAUGCACCCCCUCCUGUGGGCCAACAGAAGAGGAAACCAAAUGUUUUCAUCAGCAGCCAGGGAAGUCGGAGCCACCUUACAAAGGGACCCAGUGCUGCAUUAUUAAACCAGCCCUGAAAGAAAGGAGAGCAGAGGAAAAGAUUUUCAUGAAAAUUGUUACAUAUUAUAACACAGAUCCUGUGCGCAAAAGAUGAAGAUACUGUUGUCGACUGGCACGGCGUCAGAGGAAAACCGGAGGAGGGUCAGACGGUCAUUCCUGGGCCCUCCCCGCCUCCAGAGCAGCGAAUCAUCCCGCGGCCCGCAGAUACCCAAGCCGCGAAACAGGACGAGCCCCCAGGAGAGCUCCGCUACAGUCACAGUAUGUUUUCUUAUGUGGUUAAUAGAUACAGAGGGAGGGAAACUGCCCUUCAAACGUUUUGGCAAAGAGAGAGAUCCAGAAGAUGAGGUCCGGGAACCGAGCACCUGGUCAGCACUCUGCGUGCGAAACCAGUGCCCAGAUACGAAAGCUCUGCAGCGAGAUGUGAGCUCUGGCAAGUGGCGCGGCACCUACCCGUCCCGGAAGCCAGAUCAAAGAGCCUUCUCAGACACCCUCACUUUCCAGCAUCCACAGAACUUGACUUUAGGAAUUCCUUCCACGCCCAGUCUACCUCUUCCUGCUCUGGGCGCCCUGUGCACUUGGAGGCUGGGGGAGGAGAAUGGAAGGAUAUAAACUUGUGAAAUAAAUAUUUUUGGGAAACCUUCAGAUUGUCUCAGAAUCAGCAGGACACAUGGGGCAGGCACAAUAGGUUCACUUUCAUGUGGAUGCUGGAGCAGGCAAGACUUCCAAGUAAAAACUCUGAAUGUGAAUUUAGCUAGUUUUGGAUAAAGACGCCUUUCAGCGUCAAUAAACACCCUGAAUGCAGCCGCGGUGGAGUUACAACUUAAUGAGAUGAGGGGAAGUGCACCGGGUCAGGCCUCAUCUCCCAGCCUCUGUCAUGCUAAUCAGCUGGGCAGCCGGCAGCUGAAAAACUGCUGGAAUUUUUAUUUGCAUUUCAUUUACUUGGAAGGAAAUUGACCCAGAUGGUCCACAAAGGCCCUAGAAGGCUGGCAAGCAGUGUAGGGCUGCACACUUCUCAGAGGGCCUGCACUUGUCUGCCCAUCCUUCUUUGAGCCUAGGGCAUAAAAGAUUAAAACAGCGUAAGGGAAUUGAUUUCAUGAUUUUUAGAUAAUUUCCCCAAGAUUUUAGAAAGGACCUCAAAAACCUAAUUUAAUCAGCCAGGAGCUCAAUAGUAAUUAAGAGGAAGAAAAGCUGAGAUAAUGAAAGAGGUGGUGAGGAUUUUUGCUGUUGCUGGUGGGAACCUUUCUUAAUUAGGAAAAGUCUAAAAACUAAAUGAUGUUAAUAGAGACAAGCAUAGACACCGAGAGCCAGCGGCCGGCGGCCGGCGCCACAGUCAGCCCAUGAUGGAUUGCCCACGGAGUUCUCUUUCUCCAAAGAGAGUCCAAACAAUUGGCCACAGAGGUGCCCUGCAUGGCAUUUCCAUGGGUAUUUGCUUGAAUCUUGAAAGUUGGAGUCCAGAGGUCCCUGCCAAUGGAGAGCUCAUUCUCAUCCAGGUGAGAUUCACUCCUCAUCAUGACCCUUGGAUGAUUGGGAGCACAGAUGUGGGGUCAGGCUGUCACCAUCCAAAUCCUGGCUCUGCCAACUGCCAGCUGUGUGACCUUGGGUGAGUUAGCCUUCAACUCUGCACCUCAGUGUCCUUGAGUGUAAGAUAGAGAUAAUAAUAGUCCCCUCCCUAUAGGGUCCUUGUGCAUAUGAAAUGAGGUAAGGCACAGAGAGUGCUUAGCACAGGGCCAGGAAUGUAAGUAGGGCCAAAUAAAUGGCAGAUGUUGUUGUUAAAUGAACAUUCUCUUCCA